AUCGCCCACAUCUGCUCAGUGAAAGGAUGAAGAAUGGGUGACAGUGAACAGCACAGAGGGGAGCAAGACCAGCUCCAUCCCACGUGGAGGAUUUAGGAAUGGCUGGCACCAAGAUCUGAGAAUCGCUCUAUAAUCAGAAAACGGGCACAAGGGAAACUGAGCGAUCAUCGAAUCCAGCUUUCUCCCUUCUCAGGUGAGGAGAUCGCAGUCCAAAGAGCCAGAGAUGCUUCCCCAAAGCCCAAAGUCCACAGGGAAAGCCAGCCUCCAAACCUGCGCUGGAGCCCAGCACUCCUACCUGUCCCCGCCAGAGGCUGCUUCCUGCAGAGGGGCCUCUGGCCUGGACAGCAGCCCGAGGCUCCUGUUAUUUCAGCGAGCUCGAUUUUCCAGAUCGCAUAGCGGUGAGAACAGCCCAUGUCUCAGCUUACAGAAGUCAAAGAGAAAGAUGAAGGCUGCUCCUUCACUCAGACGCUCUCCUUUUCCCGGUCUGAUAAAGGGUACCAAACACGAGAUAUACAAACGGCGCUUCCCACCUGUGUCUCCCAUCUUGGAACCAUGAGGCAGAGAUCUCCUUAUGUGUGGCCAUCAGGAAGCAGAACAGGGCUGGACCCAGGACUCGCGGCCUUCCGCCCACCCUGCUGCAUCACCAGCUGCCUCUCGCAUUCCUCACUUCCUGCUGAGCUCCAUACUGCAGCCCAGGCCUGCCUGAGAACCGCAGGCAUGGUCGCAGCACUUCCCACUUCAGUCUAUCCUCCAUCCACGGUUCCCCGUAGCCCUGAGGCCGGAAUCCUGCAGAGGGGGUUCCAAGACUCCCCGCGUGCAUCUGCCUUCCUCUCUGUCCCCAGCCACCGUCACACCCCCACCGGCAGGACCGUCACCCAGGCCGUGGAAGAGGGGAUCCCCUGCUCUGAUCUCCAAGCAGUUUGAAGAUGGAGCCUGUCCCAAUCAUCGCC
RNAcentral lists this long non-coding RNA (950 nucleotides) under Fukomys damarensis (Damara mole-rat). RNAcentral describes it as "lncRNA (ENSFDAG00000030231.1)". Lineage: Eukaryota; Metazoa; Chordata; Mammalia; Rodentia; Bathyergidae. The record is from RNAcentral.